Molecule: non-coding RNA, 110 nt
Organism: Pelobates cultripes (western spadefoot toad)
Lineage: Eukaryota; Metazoa; Chordata; Amphibia; Anura; Pelobatidae
Source: the annotation of a GenBank genome assembly
AGUGCCAGGAAAACGAGUAUGUUUUCCUGGUACUAUAGUGGUCCUUUAAGCGCACCCUCAGGACACUAUAGUGUCAGGAAAACAAGUAUGUUUUCCUGGCACUAUAGUGG